RNAcentral lists this ribosomal RNA (718 nucleotides) under uncultured Bacteroidales bacterium. RNAcentral's name for it is "bacterial SSU rRNA". It matches the Rfam family "Bacterial small subunit ribosomal RNA", at positions 46 to 754 of the family's 1533-position model. The record is from RNAcentral. Lineage: Bacteria; Pseudomonadati; Bacteroidota; Bacteroidia; Bacteroidales.
GCUUAACACAUGCAAGUCGAGGGGCAGCAUCAUCAAAGCUUGCUUUGAUGGAUGGCGACCGGCGCACGGGUGAGUAACACGUAUCCAACCUGCCGACAACACUGGGAUAGCCUUUCGAAAGAAAGAUUAAUACCGGAUGGCAUAAUUAUUCCGCAUGGGAUAAUUAUUAAAGAAUUUCGGUUGUCGAUGGGGAUGCGUUCCAUUAGGCAGUUGGCGGGGUAACGGCCCACCAAACCUACGAUGGAUAGGGGUUCUGAGAGGAAGGUCCCCCACAUUGGAACUGAGACACGGUCCAAACUCCUACGGGAGGCAGCAGUGAGGAAUAUUGGUCAAUGGACGAGAGUCUGAACCAGCCAAGUAGCGUGAAGGAUGACUGCCCUAUGGGUUGUAAACUUCUUUUAUACGGGAAUAAAGUGAGCCACGUGUGGCUUUUUGUAUGUACCGUAUGAAUAAGGAUCGGCUAACUCCGUGCCAGCAGCCGCGGUAAUACGGAGGAUCCGAGCGUUAUCCGGAUUUAUUGGGUUUAAAGGGAGCGUAGGCGGGUUGUUAAGUCAGUUGUGAAAGUUUGCGGCUCAACCGUAAAAUUGCAGUUGAUACUGGCGACCUUGAGUGCAACAGAGGUAGGCGGAAUUCGUGGUGUAGCGGUGAAAUGCUUAGAUAUCACGAAGAACUCCGAUUGCGAAGGCAGCUUACUGGAUUGUAACUGACGCUGAUGCUC